UAACAGUUAGAUAUCUUUGUGUUGCAUUUCAGUUCAGAUUUCACCAUGUCUAGUCAUCAGCAUCUCAGUUCCAUCUGGAUUUUCUAGGUUUACUACACCUAGGAAACAAGUACAUCAAUAUCGCGGAUAAAAUAAAACAAUGGAGGUUUUUUUUUUCUUUUUUUUUUUGUAAUUUCUAGUGUUGUAUUUCUUUUCUCGGAAUUUGCAUUCUUUUUGAUGACCUGAAUCCCUCUUCGGAUAGUCAUAUUUCAUAACUAGUAAAUGAUGAACUUAUGUUCUUCAUGGAACUAAUUUUGUGAGGAAAACACUUAGAGCUCUGAAUUGCAUAUGAAAUUAAUGAGAUCUUUUAAUACAUGGAAUUUUUGGGGGGUACAGCAGUACUUUCAAUAGUUUCCUGGAUACAGGAUAAACCAAUCCAAUUACAUAUCAAUCUAAAAUGCUUGUCAAUUUAGAACUAAUAUGACAGAACCAACAAAUGCAGCAACAACGAGAAAUGGUGGACCUAGAAAUUAAGAGUAGUCCGUUUCCCUGGAGAAUUCCGCAAAGCUGGGAAAUUUGAAUUGAUUGGGUUGGAGCACUGGAGAAUUGAGGAAAUCCAAAAUACCAAUCAUGAACUCUACACAAAACGUUGUUGUGGUGACUGCUGCACAUCUUCCUCUUAUUCAUAUGGUUUUGGCAAAACAUGCCUAAGGUAUGAUCCAUAUCAGGCCAUGCCUUUCUUGAAAGAUUGCCUGAAGUAUGUGUAACAUUUGCUGCUGGACUGGUUCUUUGGAAAGGGCUUGCACUAUGGGCACUUGUUGCUUCAUUCAUUAGUUAUUUGUAGCUGAUUAAGGAUGUUAUAUCAUCUAGAGAUUCUAGGUCUUCUGUGUCUUUUAUGUUAUCACUUUCAUUUAGUUCUUUAGUAUCUUCUAUUCUAUAUGCCAGGUUAUCAUUUCUUUUUGGGCAAAUUCUAAAAUGUUUUAUAAUUUCAAUAAUAUCCUUUUUGCAACCUUUACAUUUAAACACA
Molecule: long non-coding RNA, 1006 nt
Organism: Solanum dulcamara
Lineage: Eukaryota; Viridiplantae; Streptophyta; Magnoliopsida; Solanales; Solanaceae
Exons: 2
Source: RefSeq, a predicted model, not a curated record